CGUGCCGCGGGCCCCCGCCCGGGGCGGAGCGGGGCGGUGCCCGCCCGCCGCGGCCGGGGAGCGGCUCGGCCGCCGCCGCCCCGCAGUUCGUCCGGGUGCAGCGAGAGGCCCUUCGUGGUUCCCGCCCCUGCAGGUAUAAGCAUACAUGGCUCCUGGUGUCUCAAAUGAGAAGAAAACUGAUGAUGAACAGUCUUCAAAAGAGAAUUUUAUCCAUCUCUGCAACCCUCACCUGGAGAAAAUGAAAGAAGACAUCCUGUACCAUUUUGCACUUGGGACUGGUACCCAUGAUUUUCCAGCAUUGUUUGGAGAUGUAAAGUUUGUAUGCGUUGGAGGAAGUCCUUCACGGAUGAAAGCUUUUAUCGCCUACAUAGCUGAAGAACUGGGGCUUGGGAGCCCUGGUUGUGACUAUCCUAACAUCUGUGCGGGAACUGACCGUUACGCAAUGUACAAAGUGGGACCUGUUUUGUCAGUCAGUCAUGGUAUGGGCAUUCCUUCUAUUUCAAUCAUGUUGCACGAGCUGAUCAAACUGUUGUAUCAUGCCAAGUGUUCCAACAUAACCAUUGUUCGCAUUGGCACCUCUGGUGGAAUAGGUCUGGAGCCAGGCUCAGUGGUUAUAACUAGGCAAUCUGUAGAUGCCACCUUCAAACCUCAGUUUGAACAGGUUAUUCUGGGAAAGACUGUAAUUCGCAGUACAAACCUAGAUGAACAGCUAGCUAAGGAACUGAUGCAGUGUAGUAAAGAAAUCGGUCAGUUCAAUACAGUCAUUGGAAACACUAUGUGCACUUUGGAUUUCUAUGAAGGACAGGGCAGGUUGGAUGGUGCAAUCUGCUUAUAUAAUGAAGAAGAGAAACUGCAAUAUUUGAAGGAAGCUUAUGAUUCUGGUGUCAGAAACAUAGAGAUGGAGUCUUCCGUAUUUGCGGCAAUGUGUAAUCUCAGCGGUGUCAAAGCUGCCGUAGUGUGUGUCACUCUUCUGAAUCGGCUUGAGGGGGACCAGAUUAGUAGCUCACAUGAUGUACUUGUGGAGUAUCAGCAGAGGCCACAGAAGUUAGUGGGAUAUUUCAUUAAGAAAAGUCUUGGGAAAGUAUGAAAUAUCCACCUUUGUUUUAUAGCAGCAGAAGGCUUUUGCACAGCUGAAGUCAUGGUCAUGACUUCUGUGCAUUUAAGGUCUUUUGCCUCAGAAUACCUUACAGCAUUCCGUGUGUCUGUGGAAGCUAAUAAUUUUUGUCAGUGUCCUUUGGCAACUGAACGUGCUGAAUUCACUUUUCUGUGAUUUGGAAAGUGGAUCUGCUGUGAAGGACAAGCCUGCUAUAAUAUAUGAAAAAGCCUUAUUUAUCCCUGCUAUAAAAGGAAAACUAGGAAGAAAAUCAAACUUUAUUGCCAAAUACUUGCAAACCACCAAAUUAAAAUUAACUUAAGAGUGCUAUUCCCUUUCUUGUUGCCACAAAAAAUUAUAUAAGUUAUAUUUGUCUUUGUUGCUUCACUUGUAAAGAAAACUUAAAAGUGAAUGCAGUUUAUUUUUUGCAAACUUUGACAAAUAAACAAUACUAUUUUCAUAUAUUAAAAUUUCAUGAAAUUGCAAAGUGUGGGACUGAAUUUUCUAAGCAUUAAGGCUUGACAUUGAGCUGUUACAGAUCUAUACUUCCUAGAUAUUGAUCCAACAAGGUCAUUCAUAUCCCAUUUUAACUGUACGAUUGAAUCAAUACCCAGGAAACAUUUAUGCGUUAAGUAAUUUUGCAUUGAAGAACUUGAAAUCUUGCUGAAUCAAGGCUCCUGUUUACUGAAGAGGAACCAAAGGCGUUCAGGAGAUGCACAGCAUGUUCAUGGCACUGCAUUGUGGAGGAGGACUCCUCACUCUUCCCUUGCUCCAGCGUGGGGUCCCUCUCACGGGAGACAGUCCUUCAUGAACUUCUCCAAUGUGGGUCAUGCCCACAGGCUGCAGUUCACAAACUGCUCCAACGUGGGUCCCUUCCAUGGGGUGCAGUCCUUCAGGCACAAACUGCUCCAGCGCAGGUCCUUCCCACAGGCUGCAGUCCUUCAGGCACAGACCGCUCCAGCGUGGGUGCCCUGCGGCGUCACAAGUCUUGCCAGCAAACCUGCUCCAGCGUGGGUGCCUCUCUCCACGGGGCCACAGGUCCUGCCAGGAGCCUGCUCCAGCACGGGCUUCCCACGGGGUCACAGCCUCUAUCAGGUACCCACCUGCUCUGCCAGGGGGUCCUCCAUGGACCGCAGGUGGGUAUUUGCUCCACCGUGGACCUCCCUGGGCUGCAGGGGGACAGCCUGCCUCACCAUGGUCUUCCCCAUGGGCUGCAGGGGAAUCUCUGCUCCGGUGCCUGGAGAAUCUCCUCCCCUCCUUCUGCACUGACCUGGGGGUCUGCAGGGCUGGUUCUCUCACACGUUCUCACUCCUCUCUCCAGCUGCAGUUUCUGGGCCACCGCAACUUUUUUCUCCUUCUUAAAUAUGUUAUCCCAGAGGCACUACCACCGUCGCUGAUGGGCUCGGCCUUGGCCAGCAGCGGGUACGUCUUGGAACUGGCUGGCAUUGGCUCUGUUGGACGUAGGGGAAGCUUCCAGCAGCUUCUCACAGAAGCCACCCCUGCAACCCCCCUGCUGCCAAAACAUUGCCACACAAAUCCAAUACAGAGUCAUAGGUCAAAAGGGUCUGAAUAAACUCUCAGAACAGCUGUCACUGAUCCAGCUAAAUGAGAUUUUCUUUUCAAGGAUUGCAGUCUGCAACACUUACAAGCGUAAGAGUUAGAUCGAAGAGGGAGUGAUGUAGUAGUAGGCACAUUCACGAAGAUGUGGCAGAAACCGCAAGCAAUGUGAUGAAAACAUUAAAAAAGGAAGGCAUGAUGCUUGUGAAUAGGAAACUGCCAAUGAGGAUUAGUCUGCUUAAAUUUGAUGAAUUUUCAACUGGAAAACAGAUAAAAAUACUAGAUUUUUUAAAUUUACUGACUUAGUCUUCCUUUAAUUUUAAAAACACAUUUUCUCAUUUGUGCUGAGGAUAUACAAUGAAUCUAAGUUUUCAGAGAAAGCCUUUUUCUCCCUAAGCUUAAGGGAAGGAGUCAGGUAGGAAUGGCUCCACAUUUUGUUUGAACUGUUCCUCCCUUAUUUAAAAAAAAAAAAAAAAAGCUGUGCCUAACUAUGUCUAGUGCUUGCCUGGGCAUUGCAGAAAGCCCUGUUAGGUCCCUUGUGAAACAUGCAACAAAGCACAUCCUUGCUCUGCAACCUCCUGUUCCCAGAAGAGUGGCAAGGAGAAAAAAAGGAGAGCACUUAAGAAGCAACGUGCUGCACUCUAGGCUGAAGAAAAGCUUAUACCAAAUUGACCAGUAUGGGUUUGGAGGAGACAGUUUGCUGUUGUAAAAGAAAUACCUACUAUGAAUUACCUAAAGAGGAGACAAGAAAAAAAAACCCACCUUAUGUGGCUCUGUGAAGCUUUGGGGAAGCAUAUUACUGCAGUUGUCCUGGAGGUAUGAAUCUGAAAUGGUGUGAUUUGUCUUCUUAAAGGAAGGACGGCAAGAAUCUGGAAACUAGUUCAAAAGAGUAAGUUCUUAAAUCAUUUAACAGUGUCAGCUGUCAAUAGAAACUACAGAGCUUUUAUAUUGACAGUCAUAUAAAGUAAGCACUUCUAUUUUGAUAACUAAUAUGAAAACUCUUACGUGCUACGUGCUGAAAUAUAAUGAGCAUUGUGGCCUGGCUGAGUUGGAGCUAAGGUUCAAGCAUUCAUGGAGUGAUGCAACUAUUCCAUUAAAUCGAUACACAAGACCCCAGCACAAACCCCUGGAAGACUUUAGCCGUUCACUUUUUGCCAAUAUGUCCUUUCCCCUUCCCACCGUUCCUUAGGACGUUGUACUUUUCUUUCUGCUAAAAUAUUUUUCUUCUGUGCUUUUUUAACAGAUGGAGUAAAGGGAUGUAUGACAACUUAAAGUUAGAAUUCAAAGGAGACCAAGUAUCCUGUUUCUACUGGUCACCAUCCUGUAAUGCUGUAUUCCUAAUGCAAGAGGGUGCUCUAUAGACACGUCUUACGUGCAAUAAAAUAUUUUUUUUAGCUUCAGAGGAAACCUGCCAGAAUGUCUUACCCUGAUAAGAACAAUUGUAUUUUCCCUUGUGACUGCAACUGGACAGAGAGAUAAAGAUAUGAGUGAGCUGUGUGCAUCCGGCAGUGAAGUUACCUUCCUGUAGGUUUUACAAAGAUAGCCAUAAAGAAUUAUAAAAUAUUUAACAGCCUUUUUUAUGCAAAUCAAUUCUUUAAUAUUAGCCAUUCACAUUCUUUCUGUAGAAUACAAAUCAGGAUUUGGAGUGGUGAUAUUUUUAAAAGCAUAUAUGAUAUUACAUAUAUGUUCGAUAUUACAUAGUGCAGUGUCUCCUGGUAGAACUACAAAUCCUGCAAAGCCCCAAAACCUCGAUUUCAAAUCAAAGGCCUGCUUUUGUUCUCUAUGCCACCCCGUACCUAGCAGUACACUACAGGAUCAGUUUACUCCAGAGAUCAGAAAGGAUAAAAGCAAAGAAGGAAGGUAGAAGGUAUGAAUAGGGUGGAAGUGUGAAGGGAGAAAACAGUGGUUUCUACCAAUGAUUUGUUCUGUGAUUCAUGGUGUUCUUCUGGCCUCUUCCUACCUUUUUGUUAAAGAAAUGGUUGAGACCAUAAUGAAGAUAGGCUAGAAGGCAUUUCUUUAACAUUUGCAAGAGACUGAGAAUGUGCAGUAACUUGCUUAGUGACUUGCUUUUAUUUUUGGCAUCUUAAUAUACUUCAGAGAAGGAUUUGCUUUAAUGAAAGGUAUGAGAAAUCCUGAAAAGGAAUAUUUUGGAAUGACCUGUUUCCAGAGGUGCUUAGAGUAUAAGUGUUUUUAUCUGUCCUUUAAAAACCCAGCAAAAGAAUUCAGUAAUUUCAGUAUUUCUUGAAAAUGUACACAUGUAAUAUGCAAUAUCUUUUUUUAACAUUCUUCCUAAGUCAUUGUAAAGAAUAUGCCACAGAACUGGGUUUUCUUCUCAAGUCUGGAUCUCAAUAUAUUCCUAAAUAAAAUGUUUAUACAGUUGAA
Molecule: RNA transcript, 5032 nt
Organism: Harpia harpyja (harpy eagle)
Lineage: Eukaryota; Metazoa; Chordata; Aves; Accipitriformes; Accipitridae
Gene: UPP1
Gene name: uridine phosphorylase 1
Exons: 9
Source: RefSeq, a predicted model, not a curated record